AUUCUGUUGCUAGUGAGAUCAUCUCAAGUAGCACAGUCCUUUGUUCCCUGGAAAACUGCUGACCUUUCAACUGUCAUCGGUGUUUUCUGCACAGGAUGUGCUGCACAGCACAAUUCUGUGCAUGACAAAAUCGAGUUGGAAAUCUAUUCGAGACACAAAAGCUAAGAAGAUCAGUUGUCUGCUGUACAAACCUGCAUUUCAAGAAAUAUUGAAGAAAAUUCUUCAGGUGGAAGGAAAAUUAAAUGAACUGAAACUCAAAAUCAGGUCCACAGAAGGAAGGAAAGAAGAUAUGGAACAGUAAAUCCUUGGGAAAACAAAAGUUAUGUUCUCCAAUAAAGAGGAUUAUGGUUGGACCAGAAAAAAUGGACAACUCAGGAUACUAUUAGAAAUGAAGAACCUCAUUCCCUAUCCCAAACUAAUUCAAUCAAAAUCUGUAGUUGAACACGAUUCACAAGUGAUUCCCAUGUUACUUAAAAUUUAGAAGUGCUACAUGUUAAUUCUCCUUUAUAAAGACAUCAGCUAAUCUGGGCUGACUGAUUUUGUUCUGGAGAUGAAUGAAAUAGCAGGAAUGUCACCAGACACAGCAAGCAGACAACUGUCUAUAAACCACGAAGAGGAUCCUCACCAAGGACUCAAACCUGUUGGCAUCCUGAUCUUGAACUUUUAAUCUCCAAAACUAUACGAAAUAAAUGUUUAUUUAUUUAUUUAUUUAUUUU
Molecule: long non-coding RNA, 716 nt
Organism: Sciurus carolinensis (gray squirrel)
Lineage: Eukaryota; Metazoa; Chordata; Mammalia; Rodentia; Sciuridae
Exons: 4
Source: RefSeq, a predicted model, not a curated record